CCCUUAGAUGCUCUGGGCCGCACGCGCGCUACACUGGUCGAUGCAACGAGUUUCUUUCCUUGGCCGACAGGCCUGGGCAAUCUUUGAACAUCGAUCGUGAUCGGGAUAGAUUCUUGUAAUUUUUGAUCUUAAACGAGGAAUUCCUAGUAAACGCAAGUCAUCAGCUUGCAUUGAUUACGUCCCUGCCCUUUGUACACACCGCCCGUCGCACCUACCGAUUGAAUGGUCCGGUGAAAUCUCCGGACUGGCGUGAGUCGGAGCAAUCUGACAACCACCGGAAAGUUGAUUAAACCUUACCAUUUAGAGGAAGGUGAAGUCGUAACA
Molecule: ribosomal RNA, 324 nt
Filed under: uncultured eukaryote
Lineage: Eukaryota
Description: partial 18S ribosomal RNA
Rfam family: Eukaryotic small subunit ribosomal RNA
Source: RNAcentral